This 680-nucleotide ribosomal RNA is filed under the name uncultured archaeon. Its description in RNAcentral is "bacterial SSU rRNA". It matches the Rfam family "Archaeal small subunit ribosomal RNA", at positions 1 to 688 of the family's 1478-position model. The record is from RNAcentral.
UUUCCGGUUGAUCCCGCCGGACCUGACUGCUAUCGGAUUGAUACUAAGCCAUGCGAGUCUUUGUAGUAAUACAAGGCAGACGGCUCAGUAACACGUAGUCAACUUACCCUAUGGACAAGAAUAAUCUCGGGAAACUGGGCAUAAUUCUUGAUAGAUCAUAAUGCCUGGAAUGGUUUAUGGUUAAAAUGAUUCGUCGCCAUAGGAUGGGACUGCGGCCUAUCAGCUUGUUGGUGAGGUAAUGGCCCACCAAGGCGAUUACAGGUACGGGCUCUGAGAGGAGAAGCCCGGAGAUGGGUACUGAGACACGGACCCAGGCCCUAUGGGCGCAGCAGGCGAGAAAACUUUGCAAUGUGCGAAAGCACGACAAGGUUAAUCCGAGUGAUUUCUGCUAAAGAAAUCUUUUGCCAGUCAUAAAACCACUGGUGAAUAAGGGGUGGGCAAGUUCUGGUGUCAGCCGCCGCGGUAAAACCAGCACCUCAAGUGGUCAGGAUGAUUAUUGGGCCUAAAGCAUCCGUAGCCGGCUUUGUAAGUUUUCGGUUAAAUCCAUGUGCUCAACGCAUGGGCUGCCGAAAAUACUGCAUAGCUAGGGAGUGGGAGAGGUAGACGGUACUCAGUAGGAAAGGGUAAAAUCCUUUGAUCUAUUGAUGACCACCUGUGGCGAAGGCGGUCUACCAGAACAC